RNAcentral lists this long non-coding RNA (208 nucleotides) under Prunus persica (peach). RNAcentral's name for it is "long non-coding RNA (PPER_LNC007885)". The record is from RNAcentral. Lineage: Eukaryota; Viridiplantae; Streptophyta; Magnoliopsida; Rosales; Rosaceae.
CCCCGUUUCCAUUAAUUUCUUUACAUGAAAUAAAAUUGCCUAAUAACAUAUUUUCUAUAAAAUCUCUUUGAACAUGGUUGCCAAGAAGCAAAAUGUUCAAAUAUAUAACAAAAGCCUUAACAAAAAGGCUGAUGAGGCCAAAACAAGAGUGAAGGGCAACUUGUGUGAUGUUUGACACAUGGAAUGAAAGAUGAGAUGAGAUUUUGAG